This 83-nucleotide transfer RNA is filed under the name Oscillospiraceae bacterium. RNAcentral describes it as "tRNA-Leu". It matches the Rfam family "tRNA". From Rfam's summary of the family: Transfer RNA (tRNA) molecules are approximately 80 nucleotides in length. Their secondary structure includes four short double-helical elements and three loops (D, anti-codon, and T loops). The record is from RNAcentral. Lineage: Bacteria; Bacillati; Bacillota; Clostridia; Eubacteriales; Oscillospiraceae.
GCGGACGUGGCGGAAUUGGCAUACGCGCCAGGUUUAGGUCCUGGUGGGAAACCGUGCAGGUUCAAGUCCUGUCGUCCGCACCA